RNAcentral lists this ribosomal RNA (262 nucleotides) under uncultured bacterium. RNAcentral's name for it is "partial 16S ribosomal RNA". It matches the Rfam family "Bacterial small subunit ribosomal RNA", at positions 793 to 1055 of the family's 1533-position model. The record is from RNAcentral.
GUCCACGCCGUAAACGUUGGGCACUAGGUGUGGGUUCCAACCAACGGAAUCCGUGCCGCAGCUAACGCAUUAAGUGCCCCGCCUGGGGAGUACGGCCGCAAGGUUAAAACUCAAAGGAAUUGACGGGGGCCCGCACAAGCGGCGGAGCAUGUUGCUUAAUUCGAUGCAACGCGAAGAACCUUACCUGGGUUUGACAUGCAGUGAAAAGCCGUAGAGAUACGGUGUCCUUCGGGGCGCUGCACAGGUGGUGCAUGGCUGUCGU